GUUUAAUUCCGUUCCCCUAGUGAGAAGCUGCAGGACUUGUAGCAUGUCCGGUAACCCCUUCUGCAGCCACCUUCCCACACCAGGGUAGGCUGUGAUCAGGAGCCAGUCAUCAGCCCUAAUCCUACAGACACACGGUUGCUCACUUGGACAACAUUUCAGCAAGAUUGUGAAGCUACACGGAGGAACCCACGUGGUGUGGAUGUGAUCAAGUGUUCUCACCGAAAUACCUGGGCAAGGAAUUGGUGCUAAAAGACCCUAGGCCAGCUUCCAGUCCACGCUGUCGAACAGGAAUAUGUGAGCCGCACACGAAAUGACUGAAAGCUUCUGAAGAGAGAAGACUAUCUUUGUAUCUUCACUUAGCGCAAGACCUAGACAUAACAGAAGCUCAAGAAAUGUAUUCAUUAACUCAUUCAUUAAAAAUAAUUGUUAGUGUUUGUUGCUUGUGAAACUGUGGGCUGAGUGCUGGGGAUGUAAC
Molecule: long non-coding RNA, 475 nt
Filed under: Homo sapiens (human)
Lineage: Eukaryota; Metazoa; Chordata; Mammalia; Primates; Hominidae
Description: HSALNT0081764
Source: RNAcentral